Canis lupus familiaris (dog) is the source of this 595-nucleotide long non-coding RNA. RefSeq lists it as uncharacterized. The transcript is spliced from 2 exons. NCBI's taxonomy places the organism in Eukaryota, Metazoa, Chordata, Mammalia, Carnivora, Canidae. The record is from RefSeq and is a predicted model, not a curated record.
GCCAGCAGGGCAGGGUGGGGAGGGGCACCAGGCAUGAGUGCAGCUAGGGGGUGGCGGCCGGCAGGCAGGUGGGGUCCCUAGCGGCCUGAGCCCUCUGCUCUCCGUUGGCCACUCGGCCGGAGGCUCGAAGCCCGUCUGCGGGGGGCCCCUCUGGCCAGGCUGCGCCUGCCCUGGAAUUGGGAAGGGCCCGACAACAGGUCGUGAGGCCUACUCGACGCCGUCAGCGGAGAACCCCCGUGACUCCGUUCCAUCUUCUUGGCCCCAGGAGGACAAAUAAGCAUGGAUAUGGCCUGCAGUCUCUGAGGUCCUGGAGCCUGUGACCCGGAGGGACGACCCUGAGUGACAACCGGUUCCUACAGAUGGCGAGCGACUCCCUGCGUGGUGUCCUUGAAUUCCAGCCAGCAAACCCGGAGCCCUCAGCCCUCCCCGCCUGCUGUUUAUCACAAGGUCCCGCAGUGCGAGGACCCUGCCCCACGUCAGCGCAGCGCCGGGUACGGGACCACGAGAGGCUGCCGCUGCAACCUCGGCCUGUUCAGCUGCACACCCUGCUUGCCCGACGUCUCCCAACAACCACAAUAAAGGCUUUGUUCUUGUU